Molecule: long non-coding RNA, 1682 nt
Organism: Lagopus leucura (white-tailed ptarmigan)
Lineage: Eukaryota; Metazoa; Chordata; Aves; Galliformes; Phasianidae
Exons: 2
Source: RefSeq, a predicted model, not a curated record
AGAUUCCUGACCUGAUGGGCAUAAAGACCUGCAGAGAAUCCUCUGACUGACUGAAGGAAAAACCAGUGUGGUGUCAUCUUGCAAAUGAAUUCUGAUGAUAAUCACAAUUAUUUUUCCUGCUGGGGACAAACUUCUGCAGUGGCAGUAGUUCAUCUAUUGAUGUUGGACCUGAUGAACCCUUGAGCAUGGACAGAGCUUGGAUGGAGAAUACUGUCAUUGGUCUGUGCUGAGGCCAACCCAACAUCCUCAUGGCCAUCUUGAGCCAGCUCUCAGGAGGGGAAUCUUUUAUAGAUUAAUGUAUAUGGCCGCGCAAUGUUAAUUCCAGCUUCCUUCCAGAUGCAGAUAUACAGCAGCUUUGGUCUGCAGAAUAACCCCACACUCUUGCCAUCUGCAAACACAAGCAAUAGUUUUUAUCAGAAAAAAACUCCAAUCCAACUAGCACUUCAUUUCCCAUGCUAGAAAUGCCUGAGAGCAAAAACUUUCCCUAAAUAACCCCAACACUGAACAAUCACCGAAAUGCAUCUCUUUUAUUUCACUGCUUCCCCUCACCUGGUAAACAGUGACUUGGCCAACACCUGGUGCCUGUCUGCUCCAUCACUGGGGUGGUUGAUGCUGCUCAUGUCCUCUGGAUCGUUUAACCUGAUUUUCCACCUGCAGCUGCAUGGCUACCAAUGAAAAACCCUCCCCAAAACUCAGCCUGUGUGGAACAAGCAUGCUUCAUGGGGCUGGCUUUGGAGAGCCCACUUGAGGUAUGGGCUCCAGAAGGCAAAAAGUACCUCGAAGAGGAUGCACUGAUCUUUGUCCUCUUGCUGUUCCUUCUGUAGCAGCUUCCUCCCCUGCAGUACUGCACAGCUGUAAAGAAGCUGUGAUGGCUCUGAGGAAGGAGUCUGGGUUCUGCAGCUGAUGUUCCCCUGCUUGCCCCCCUGUAUCCUGCUCCAUCUCCAGCAUAUGGAGGGGCUAAUUGCUGCUGUAGGAGCUGCUGCUGUGCACAGUGGUCUGUGGAUGAGCUAAGCACAAAAAAAUGAUUUAUUAUGGCUUUAUGAUACAACUAUUUUUUCGUAGAUAGUAAGGAAAGUAUGGGAUAACCAAGGGGGAAAAUCAGUUUGGUUUGGGGGAGCUAUUUUUUCAAGCUGUUCCUGGGCAGUCACUCGGUGUGUGUUGUUGGCUUGGUUUGUGGCACAGACUUCUCAUGCAGGGGCAGAGCUCACCCAAUGACAACCCUUCCAAGGGUGCCCUGAGCCACCUGGGAUGCUUUCCCUACUACAGAGCAGCUGGGGUUGAGCACUUGCCCUGGUAUUCCUAGAAACCUUCCAGAAAAGCACCCCCAAAGCAGCAGAACCCCACAUCCCACGGAUGUCACCUUAGCAGUGAUGGCACGGGAAGGGGAUGUCUGUGUUGGCACCUCUGUGACUUCAAAGGCAGGAGCUGAGAGGCUUCUCAGAGCCUCUGCUUUGUUAUUCAUCUUCCCCAGCGCUCAUAAAUUAUCAACAAACAAUCUCAGCCAUCAUGCCGGUGAGCAGGACUGGAUAAUUAUGUUUGUGGUUCAAAAUGAGGGUUGUCAAUUUUAAUUAGGGAAAGCUGAGGGCGCGGGGAAUUUUUAAUGUUACCACCUGAACUCUCGAGUGCUGCUUAGGAAAUAAUUGUAAAUGAAAAAUUAAACAGGGCUCAGUACACACUGCAAA